RNAcentral lists this ribosomal RNA (253 nucleotides) under uncultured prokaryote. RNAcentral's name for it is "partial 16S ribosomal RNA". It matches the Rfam family "Bacterial small subunit ribosomal RNA", at positions 524 to 776 of the family's 1533-position model. The record is from RNAcentral.
GACAGGGGAUGCAAGCGUUAUCCGGAAUGAUUGGGCGUAAAGCGUCUGUAGGUGGCUUUUUAAGUCUGCCGUCAAAUCCCAGGGCUCAACCCUGGCCAGGCGAUGGAGACUACUAAGCUGGAGUACGGUAGGGGCAGAGGGAAUUUCCGGUGGAGCGGUGAAAUGCGUAGAUAUCAGGAAGAACACCAAUGGCGAAGGCAGCUCGCUGGGACGGUACUGACGCUGAGACGCGAAAGCGUGGGGAGCAAACAGG